This 253-nucleotide ribosomal RNA is filed under the name uncultured bacterium. RNAcentral's name for it is "partial 16S ribosomal RNA". It matches the Rfam family "Bacterial small subunit ribosomal RNA", at positions 524 to 776 of the family's 1533-position model. The record is from RNAcentral.
UACGGGGGGGGUAAGCGUUGUUCGGAAUUACUGGGCGUAAAGGGCUCGUAGGCGGCCAACUAAGUCAUACGUGAAAUCCCUCAGCUUAACUGGGGAACUGCGUGUGAUACUGGAUGGCUUGGAUUUGGGAGAGGGAUGCGGAAUUCCAGGUGUAGCGGUGAAAUGCGUAGAUAUCUGGAGGAACACCAAUGGCGAAGGCAGCCCCCUGGGUCGAUACUGACGCUCAUGCACGAAAGCGUGGGUAGCAAACAGG